This 28-nucleotide non-coding RNA is filed under the name Mus musculus (house mouse). Lineage: Eukaryota; Metazoa; Chordata; Mammalia; Rodentia; Muridae. The record is from RNAcentral.
UAGCAUGAAGGCUCUUGAGCAGGGGAGA